This 160-nucleotide small nuclear RNA is filed under the name Salvator merianae (Argentine black and white tegu). Lineage: Eukaryota; Metazoa; Chordata; Lepidosauria; Squamata; Teiidae. The record is from RNAcentral.
AUUUUUUUUUAAAUAAAAUCAAAACUGAGAACAGCAGCAGACAAGCAUGGAUAAGAAAUUUGCUGGGAUUGAAAACUUGAAACAGGCCCCUCAGGUUCGUGGCGCAGCAUGGCCCCUGCACAAGGAUGACACGCAAAUUCAUGAAGCGUUCCAUAUUUUU